Molecule: ribosomal RNA, 253 nt
Filed under: uncultured bacterium
Lineage: Bacteria
Description: partial 16S ribosomal RNA
Rfam family: Bacterial small subunit ribosomal RNA
Source: RNAcentral
UACGAAGGGGGCUAGCGUUGCUCGGAAUCACUGGGCGUAAAGGGUGCGUAGGCGGGUCUUUAAGUCAGGGGUGAAAUCCUGAAGCUCAACUCCAGAACUGCCUUUGAUACUGAAGAUCUUGAGUUCGGGAGAGGUGAGUGGAACUGCGAGUGUAGAGGUGAAAUUCGUAGAUAUUCGCAAGAACACCAGUGGCGAAGGCGGCUCACUGGCCCGAUACUGACGCUGAGGCACGAAAGCGUGGGGAGCAAACAGG